ACAAAACACAUAAAACAAUCGAUCAAACAAACAAAACAAAACAAAACAAUCCAAAAAUAUAGUGUCCAGUCCAAUUAUUACAAUCCGAAAUAUAAAGGUACUUAAAAAGUAAACCUACACUAAUCCUAAACUACGCUCCAAUGCUUUACCCAAUGUUUCGGGCCUUGAUCACGAACAUCUUCCGCCAACAUAAUACGUCGAGGCAUUCUCCGGUGAAUAAAUAAAAUGAGCCUCGGGGUAUUCCCCGGCUAAAUGAAUACAUUUGAUGAAAUACGAUAAAAACAAACCAUUCCACAAACAUUUCAAAUCAUUCAACCAUACACAAUCCCUACUUUUGCCUACCCAAAUUAGAUUUGUCUAUUCCGUCUUGACCUAAAAUAUGAUAAUAUCAAUUUUGAUUAACGUUCGUUUCAAGUCAAACAACAACCCAAGAAUCAAAUCAACCAAAAUUCACCUUUUUAUCAAGUUUCAAACCCUGUUCCACUUAUUCCCAAUCAAUUAACCAAUUUCAAUAUAAGAAUCAACCAAUCAAGGUACGACAAUUAUAGAAACUCAAAACACACUCAAAAUUCAUAUCAUCAACCCAUCACUAAUCAACAAAAAUCACGACAUCAAACAUCACAUCAGGAUAAAAUAAAAAGAGAUUAAGUUGAAGAAUUUGACCUCGAUUUUAUUUCAUCCACUGAAUUUGUUCGAACAAAGGCAACGAACUUAAGACCUCGAUUCAACGAACUCAACACGGAUCCCCCAACUUGAUCAACCCCCACUAAAAAAAAUAACCAGGGGCCCACAUAUUACAAAAAAAAAGAGAUACCCAGGACUCUUCUUCCAUUAUUUGGAAAAGAAUACAACCAGGGGGACCCACACGAUUUUGGGGGGACUCCAUUUUCCCUUUCUAAUAUACAACCAUCAGAUACCAAAAAAAAAGGAGGACAGGCACACACACAGUAAUAUUCACUCCUUUUUUUCUCUCAUCUUCUAGAUGCAAAGAUCAACAAUCAACAACACAGAAGAACCACUCUCAACGUCUCAAUUCUCAUACACACCAGAGAACCCACCAUCAAUACGCCAGCCAGACGCAAAGCUCAUGCAGAUUGAGGGAGAGAGACGCGAGAGAGAUAGACGAAGAGAGAGGAGAGUGAAACAGAAUUGAUAAGAGCAACAAAAAGAGCGAAACACUCAUCGAAAAUUCCCUAGAUUAGUCACCAGAACCCACUUCUGUUUCUAUUGCUCUGGCGAUUUCUCACCGGAGAACAUCUUCGUUCGCCCAAAUUCGUUCAAAUCCAACUGUUUUCUAUCAAAAACUUGCCGGUUCUGAAAGAAACGGGUACGGGUCUUCUCUAUUCAUUGCGUAUUCUAUUUUAGAUUAGCGGAAAACAAAGUGACGAGCGUAAAUCGAAGCUAGGUUUUGCUGUUGGGGUUUGAUUCGAGGUUGUUUGGUGCGGUUUUUAUCUUUUUGAUCGAGUGAUACUUGAUUUUGAUCAUCAAUUGAGGUCCAAUUCUGAUCUUCACUCAUUUUAUUUUUUUAUUUGUCAUAUUCGAUGCAUUGAAUUGAAUAUUAUGCGUUGUUUAAUCUUUAUUGAUGCAUAAUCUUUGUUUGAUUCGUGGUUGGGUUCUUUGAUUCUGGAUGGUAUAAAUGAUAAUCGUUAAUCGGGGAAAUUUGGUGUUAAAGGCAAUUUGGGACGAAAUUGAAAACUGAUAAAAAGGGUGUAUUUUGGUUGAUUGUUGUUUUGGUUAAUCGAAAUAAAUAGCAAGUUGGUGAAUUCAAUAGGAUAACAUUCUAGGCCGAAAUCUUAAUAGGCAAAAGUUUAGUUUAGGGUAGGCAAAUUUAUGGAUUGUUGAUUAAUGUGGAAUGUUUGUUGAAUUACUCUCUUUUCUCACAUUUGGAAGACAUAUUCAUUUAGCCGGGGAAUACCCCGAGGUUUCAUGUAUUUAUUCACCGGGGAAUGCCCCGGCGUAUUAUGUUGGUGAAGACAGAUCAUGAUGAAGGCCCGAGGCAUCGAGUAAAGCACGGGAGCGUAGUUAGGAUUAGCGUAAGUUAGAUAGGAUUUAUUUUUGUAUUUUUUAUUUUGGACUAUAUAAAUUGGACUGGACACCGUGCUUUUGAUUCAUUUUUGUUUUGUUUGUUUGUUUGAUUGUUUUACAUGUUUUUGUGUGGUUUGUACAUUCGUAGUGUCAAAAUUAGCCGAUACGCUCCACCAAGCGGCCGUGGUCAAACCACGGGAUCGAGGGGUUCUUAACACCUUCCCCUCGGUCAAUAGAAUUCCUUAGCCGGAAUCUCUGUUCGCAAACUAGUUUAAAGAGUCAAAUAGUUUUGAAAAGGAUUUUCCAAUGGUGACUUGGCACACCAGAUUAUUUCAAGUGGUGACUCUGAAUAAAAAAAUAUAAAUAGUCCUUUUUUGAAACAAAUUUUUAAUCCUUUGUCACUUAAUAAAAACCCUUUCGAACUUGAAAUAAAUCAUUUGGAGUACGAAAAAGGGGUGUGACAGCUCUGGCAACUCUGCUGGGGAUUUUUUAGAAUUCAAGCUUAUUUUUGGAGUUGUAUCGGCUUAGUUUGGAACUAUAGGUGUAUAGACAUUUGUUUGUGUUGUUUAGUGUUAAUGUGUAGCAUUGUUGAGUGCCUACGUUCUCUUUGUUUGUAGUUUUUACUUUAUGUGUUAUCGCUUUAUAUCUGGCAUCAUGUGCAUAACUCGAGUCUUUCUUUCUGCAACAAGUCCAUAGUACACGUGUGUACACGACCUAUAGUUGAGUCACCCUCAUUUUUAGGGGGCAGCCGUUGGGUUGUAUGGAGUAGGUGGCCAGCUAAAGCAAGCCACUAUCGACCAUACGCUCCCCCGAACAACCUUGUUAGUGGGCCCCAGUGUAGGUCAUCCUUUAGGUCAUAGUUAUUUGUAUCAUAUUGAGACCUAGCAGGACCCACGUGGCCCUUUAUAGGAGACUCACCUAUAAAAGCAUCCCUACGUGCUAUAUGUUGCAUCUUUGAGGGUAAUAUGGUCAUUUGACAGACUGAUUUGGGGAAACCAUGUGUUAGAAGUAAGGUGCAUAGAUAAGAAAUGUUGAAAAAAAAAAUAAUAGAAAAAAAGUGAAUUGAAAAGAAAAAAAGAAUGUUUUGUAAGUUUUUAGAGUUCUUUUUCACUUUUGAUUUUCUUUCACAAUUCAAAAAUUCAAAAAAAGAAAUUACCUUUCGCACUCAUUUUUCUCAAAAAACAUCAAAAAGAUUUUCCUUUUAUUCCUUUACCAUGCAUUCAUAAUUCGAAAAUUUCAAAAAAGAUUUUUCUUUCAUAGUUGUUGGUGUCAUUUUUGUAUGAAGUGUCAAAUUAAUAACCCAAAAAGAUUUUAUUUUCAUGGUGCAGUCGUGUCUCUCAAGUCAAGGUUUUGUUCUAUAAUCCUUAAUUGUCCAAUCUGGACGAACAACGCACCCCUGAUUCUCCUUACUCGGGAGUGAGAUACGUAGGCAGCCUAUUGUUGGUUCGGGGAUCCUAUUUCAAAAAUCUAAAAAUAUUUUUCUUCAUUCUUUAUUUAGAUUAGGUGUCAUAUGCAUCAAUAAAAGAAAAGUACAAACAGAUUUUCCUUUAAUAGGUUCAAGUUUCAUUUUCGUAUGAAAUGCAAAAUUGAAAACCCAAAAAAGAUCUUUCUUUGGUAAUCAUAGAUUUCAUUUUGUAUAAGGAUGUUAAAGUUGAAAAAUUUCUGAAAAAAAUUUCAUCAAUUCUUUUGAAAAAUUGUUAUUUUCUUUUCUUCUUAAAGUUUCAAGGAAUAGAAAAAGAGUUUAACUGGCCAUUUUGGCAAGACUUCGCGAACUACGCACACCUGAUUCUCCUCUCUCGAGAGUGAGAUAUGUAGGCGCCCUUCUUGGGUUUGGUGAUCUUUUUAAAGAAAAAGAAAAGCAAAAAAAGAGGUUUUGAAAAAUUGGUGAACUACGCAUUUGCUAUCUCUUGCCCAGUUAGUUUAAUGUGGUUGGUUUGUAGAAUUUUGGCUGGUCCUCCAUAUUACUCCAAGUUACAAAAAAAGUUAUAGCCAACAAGGAUACCGAGUUAGUUGUCACUAAUCACAUAGGGAGUUCGAGGAAUGAGAAUGUAGGAGCUAAUAAAGAGAUUCAGAAAUUAAGGCAGCAAAUGAUAGAAAUGCAUCGAGCUUGGGCUAAUGGAUUGCCGCCUCCUCCAUUUCCCGCUGAUAAUCUGGAAUAUCUUCCUUGUUUGCCUCCAGUGUCACAUGCAUAAUUCCCAAUUUUUGUCGACACACCACAAUAUGCAUCAGGAACUACUCCAGGGCAACAGUAUCCAAACACUUCCAAUAUUUAUUUCCUCACCCCUCAAUACAAAAUUACCAUAUGCUUGGCUCCGCCUACUAUUCAUGCUUUUUUUUAGCCCACUCCCGUCUGAAACUCCUGCUUUUAUGUUCAAUCCAACGGUUGUGAUUCCUCACUCUACAAGCAACCCUGUAUUGAAUAUUUUUGUUGAUCAGCAUUAUGCUCCCAACCCCACAUUUAAGUCAAUUGGUCCUUACGACUGCACUAAACUACCUGAAUUUUCUCCCAACACUGAGAAGCCUGUUAUGACAGAAGAACAAGAGAAAAUGGCUAGAAAAUUGAGAAGUUUGGAACUAACUAUGAAAAACUUCAAGGACUCGGGGGGUACAAAAGUGUCUCAUAUAAAGAUCUGUGCAUGUUUCCAGGUGUACAUCUUCGUCUUGGUUUUAAAAUGCCGAAGUUUGAGAAGUAUGAUGGACAUGGCGAUCCUAUAGCACAUUUGAGAUGCUAUUGCAACCAGCUAAGGGGCGCUGGAGGGAAGGAAGAAUUACUCAUGGCAUAUUUCAGUGAGAGUCUUUUAGGUCUAGCUUCAAAAUUGUUUGUUGACCAAGACAUCGACAAGUGGAACAGCUAGGAUGACCUUGCUAAUGAACUCGUGCAAUAAUUUCAAUAAAAUAUGGAGCUGAUUCCUGACGAGAAAUCCCUGACUAUUAUAAAGAAAAAGAGUACUGAAACUUUCAGAGAGUAUGCGAUUAGAUGGCGUGAACAAGCUGCUAGGGUGAAAUCGACAAUGAAAGAAAGUAAGAUAGUGGAGGCGUUUAUUCAAGCGCAGGAUGAAACAUAUUAUCAACACUUGUUACCUGCAUUAGGCAAAACAUUUUUUGGGGUCCUCAAAAUGGGGGAGAUGAUAGAGGAUGGAAUUAAGACCGGUCGCAUUGUGAGUUUUGCAACAUUGAAAACGACUACUCAAGCAAUUCAAAAAGGUUCGGGAAGUGUUGGAGGAAAGAAGAAUAAGAAAGAUGCAUCUACCAUUGUAGUUGGACUAUAGGCACGGGCGAGAGGACUACACCAUCAUUACCCACGGGCUCAAACCCAAGUUUAUGCCCAAGCUCCACAGAAUCUUUCCCAAAAUCCAUUAUACUCUAUUCUCCCACCUCCAUAUCAAGUGUAUAAUGCACAACCAUAUGUUUAAACCCCAUCUUACCCACACUGACGUGCGCCAACUCUGUCGAUUCAUCCUCCAACUCGACAUACAUAACAAAACCUUUCUAGGCUUGGUUUUCAAUUUAAGCCAAACAAUGAAAUAAGACAGAAGUCGAGGGAUAGCUUCACACCAAUCGGAGAGUCAUAUACUAGUUUAUUUCAGAGAUUUGUACAGCGGGGCAUGAUCACUCCUCUCCUUGGGUAUACUCCUGACCCACAUUCAAGAAGUUUAGAUCCUAAUGUAUGAUGUGCAUAUCAUUUUGAUGUUCAAGGUCACAGUAUUGAAGAUUGUCAUGCUUUGAAAAGAGAAAUUGAAAAGAUGAUUCAAGAUAAAUCAAUCAUGGUGCAGAACACUGACAGUGAGGAAAGCUCUAGUCAUGCUAAUAUGCAAACCAGUGGCUAAGAUGUCAGGCUGAGCAAUUGAGAAGUCACCCUUCUCCUAAAUAAGAAGGGGUCUAGUAACUUGUUUUAUUUUUUUUAUUGUCCAAAUUAAUUUAGGGUUGUAGUUGGGAUCUAUAUUGUUUUGUCCUUUUGUUGUUUAUGUUUAAAACCUUCUAUCUUUUAUUUCAACUAAAUGAAGUGUCCUAUUUUUCUUUGUGUUUUAAAUAUGUGUUGUUUGUUUGUUUUCUUUACAUAGUACAUUUUAUGUUGACUCUAGUAAUAUGACAUGCUAGUGAAAUUUUCAACCAGAUCUUAAAAUCCAGUUUAAUCAUGAACAUUGAAUCAGAGGGUUAAAGUUAAAAAAAGAGAGCAUAUGAGAAAAUAGAUAGAGUGCUAAGACAUUUGGUGGCAAGUUAAGGCGAUUAUUUGGAGAAUCACAAGAACAACUUGGUCAUCGAUCGAAAGGCAGGUCCCAAUUAGGUCAAAUAGUGAAUGUGUGAUCCCUAUAUCAAGAGAAACAAGAAGAUAAUCAGCUCUACAAAAUCAGGAAUCACUCAAUGUGAGGGAUGCAUAACAAAGGUAGAGUUGUAUGCUGGACAAAUAUAGAAGAAGAAGUGACACACGUUCAGUUUAAGUUAGUGUUAUUAAAGUGUCCACAUGAUCUUUAUCUACCACUUUCCAAUUGCAUGUUAUGUACUUGCAUUCUCAAGGAUUGAUAUGAUGAAGACAUUUAAUUCUGCUAUCCAAACAUUGUGUCAUCCUUUGUUUACCCCAUUUGAGCCUUAGUGUUAUUUUCUUUCAUACCCCUCUUUUGGAAUCAAGAUAGGGUCAGCAAAGUUCAAAGAAAAGUGUCGAGUAAAAAGAUAAAGUCAGAAAAGUUUCAAAAAGAGACAAAAAUGUUUCCAAAAAGAAAAAAAGAAGUGUCAAGAAAAAUAGAGUUAGAAAAAAACUCUCUAAGUAAAAAGAGCGAAUAAGAGAAAAAAAAGAAAAUCAGAAUCAAGCAAAGGAACAAGUUGUCAGAACUAUGCAUAACCUGAUUCUCCUCUCUUGGGGGUGAGAUACGUAGGCUGCCCUACUAAGGGCUCGGUCCAACCAAAUAAAUAAUUUAGAGUCACCUAGUCAAAAGAAACUGGGGCAUGAGUUAAUUCUUAUUGUUAGAGUCGAUUCCAAAAGUUGUAAGUCCCACCCCACUUCAAGUGUCGUUUGGGCCCCAUGCCAUCCUUUCUUUCUAACCCUAUCCAAAAUCCAAGUUAAAACCAAAGAAAGACCUUCAGAUCAAUUUUUGAGAAUGUUAAGGCUAAGCAUGAAAGGGAUAUGAUGAUGCAUUUUGAGAACUACUUGUCUUCCUCGGUAUAAGGAAUUGGGAGAGAAAUAAAAUAAGAGAGUCUUAUUGGUGAAAACCCCCACGGGCACUAUAAGGCGAUGGUAAGGCGAGAGAGAUAAAAAUGAGAGUCUUAUCGGUGAAAACCCUCACGGGCACUUUAAGACGUCCGUGAGUUGAGAAAAAUGAAAAUAAGAAUCUCAUUAGUGAAAACCCCUCACGGAAACCAUAGGAAAAUGGUAAGCUGAGAGAACAAAAAUAAGAAUUUCAUUGGUGAAAAACCCUCACAAACACCAUAGGAAAAUGGUGAGCUGAGAGAACAAAAAUGAGAGUCUCUCAAUGGUGGAAAACCCUCACAGGCACCAUAAUACAAUGUUGAACUGAAAAAAAAAAUAAAAAAUGAGAGAGGUUUGUUGGCAAAAACCCUUCAAGGCAUCACUAGCCGAAUGAGGUCUUAAAAGCAAUUGACCUAAGGAAGCAUUUCCAUUUCCAGUCCAUUAACUCAACAACAAUUGUUGAGAGUUUGGAUGGAAAUAUCAGGAAGCCUAAUCCAAAAUGCAUGGCAUAAUCAUUAAAAUUGACUGUCAUUUUUAGAUAAAUUUUAUUUUUUUAUUUCAAAUGGGGACAUUCAUUAUCUUUUCUUUCUUCUUUUAUAUUUUUAUUUUAUUGGGUCAGUUGUCCAAAUAAAAAUCAUUGUCAUUUUUUUCUUGUCUUUGAGUCAAGUCCAUGUAAAAACAAGUGAGAAAAGAUUUCAAAACUGGCUACCAGCUUCUUCAAUUUCACAAAUAAAGACAAAAGCUAGCACAUAAAAGAUACAUGAUUGUGAGCUGAAGAAAGGGCAUGCAAAAAGUUUUUUCAAUAGACAAGUCUGGGAACUCAUGGAAAUACCAAGGUUCAAAGGGGUUUAUCUGAGGAGCAUGGUAAAGCAGAGAUACUGUAUUUGUCUCGGAGUCACUCUUAAUAAUCUGAGUCUGGGUCAAUGAUGCAGCAAGUUAAUGACAUAUGCUAAUGGUUGGAAGCAAGGUUAAAUGUGACUGGGGCAAGAGCGAUUGACUUGAAAUCUAAAGCCACAAACUAUCCAUCAUGUUUUUAAAACUCACAAGUUUUCUUUGAAUGAAAUAGGAAUAUAUGUUGCAUUUAGAUCAAGGAUUUCAGAGCCUAGCAUCAGAGGCCGUAAUUUCUCACUUCUACAAAUGUAAGAGGCAAUAUUGCUGCAUAGUUUUGGUAAUGAAAACCAUGGUAAAACUCAUAAUUCAAGAUCUCUAGGAGACAUACUUCCUUCUCAAGGAGACACAUUUCCUUGAAAAAUGCAAGUGACAUUUGUAAGGAGAUGCAUUUCAUUGUCUGGAUAAUUUAAGUGGUGUUUAUAAGGAGACACAUUUCCUUGGAAAAUUCGUGAAACAUUGGUAAGGAGAAGCACUUCCUUGUUUUGGUAAUUCAAGAAACAUUGGUAAGGAGAAGCACUUCCUUGUUUUGGUAAUUCAAGAAACAUUUGUAAGGAGAUGCACUUUCUUGUUUGGUAAUUCAAGCGGUAUUUGUAAGGAGACACACUUUCUUAUUUGGGUAAUUCCAGCAACUUUUGUAAGGAGACGCACUUCCUUGUUUGGGUAAUUCAAGCGGUAUUUGUAAGGAUACACACUUACUUGUUUGGUAAUUCAAGCAACAUUUGUAAGGAGACACACUUCCUUGUUUGGUAAUUCAAGCAGUAUUUGUAAGGAGACGCACUUCCUUGUUUGGUAAUUCAAGAAACAUUUGUAAGGAGACAUGCUUCCUUGUAAGGUAAUUCAAGCGGUAUUUGUAAGGAGAUACACUUCCUUGUUUGGUAAUUCAAGCAACAUUUGUAAGGAGACAUACUUCAUUGUUUGGUAAUUAAAGCGGUAUUUGUAAGGAGACGCACUUCCUUGUUUGGUAAUUCAAGCAACAUUUGUAAGGAGACGCGCUUUCUUGUUUGGUAAUUCAAGCGGUAUUUGUAAGGAGACUCACUUCCUUUUUUGGGGUAAUUCGAGCAACAUUUGUAAGGAAACGUACUCCCUUGUUUGGUAAUUCAAGAAACAUUUGUAAGGAGAUGCACUUCCUUGUUUGAGUAAUUCAGAGAAAUUUUUUAGGAGACGCAUUUUCUUGUCUUGGUAAUUCAAGCGACAUUUGUAAGGAGACGCACUUCCUUGUUUGGUUAAUUCAAGCAACAUUUGUAAGGAGACACACUUCUUUGCUUGGGAUAAUUUGAGAACAUUUGUAAGAAGACGCACUUUCUUGUUUGGUCAAUUCAUGAAACAUUUGUAAGGAGAUGCACUUCCUUAUUUUGUUAAUUCAAGAAACAUUUGUAAGGAGACGCACUUCCUUAUUUGAGUAAUUCAACCGGCAUUGGUAAGGAUACACACUUUCUUGUUUGAGUAAUUCAGGUGGUAUUGGUAAGGAAACACACUUCCUUGUUUUGGUAAUUCAAGUGGCAUUGGUAAGGAGAUGCACUUCCUUGUUUUGAUAAUUCAAGAAACAGUGGUAAGGAGAUGCACUUCCUUGACUGGGUAAUUCAAACUUUGCUUUUUGGGUAAUGCACUUCCUAACUUAAGUCUUGAUUCCUAGUAGAUAUACCUCCUAGUCGAGUCAGUCCCCUUGAUUUCUAGAUAAUGCACUUUCUAGUCGAGUUAUUGCACUUAAUCCUUAGGAGACGCACUUUCUUGCUAGUUUUCAUUUAUCAGGUGACACACUUUUUAACUUAAACUUGUAUCUCUAGAAGAUGCAUUUUCUAGUUAGAAUCCCUCACUUUAAUUCUUAGGAGAUGCAGUUCCUAGUCUUAGUUAUUCAAUUUUACUCUCAAGAGAUUCAUUUCUUGGUCAGAGUCUUGAUUCAUCAUUGCAACGUGCAAGUAGGUAUGAUGUGAAUUUUCCAAAAGUCUUCUGAUUAUAAACUGGGGAAAAAAUUCAAUUUUUGUUUUUGAAACUUUACUUUUCUGGCAAAUAGAAUUUCUCUUUACAAUAAUUUUUGUUUGGGAUAAUUUUCUUUCUAGUUUUGAUGUGGUUUCAGGUGCCCGCCUGAAGAACAGGGCGAAUAAAUGAAAAGUCAAACAACAUGGUGAAGAAGUUGAAAUUCAAGCAACAAGGUGAGGAGGUUGAAAGUCAAACAAUAAGGUGAAGAGUUUGAAAGUCAAGCAACAAGGUGAAGAAAGUGAAAGUCAACCGAUUGAUGAAAUUGCAAGUCAGGACCCCGCCUGAAAAAUAGGGUGAUGAAACUCGAGCCAAGAGUCCAACAGAAGUUGUAUAGAUAGGAUUUUUGUACUUUCAUUUAUGUUUUAACUUGUAAUUUUCAUUUUUGAUGUAAUGACAGAGCCGCGGACCGGAACCUCGAUGGAACCUCACUUGACUCUCCAAUUCGGUUGUCCUUCUUCCUUUUGUUUCUUCCCUUUGAAUAAUGAUCGGGUCAAAAUUCUGUCUCGUUGUCUACUUCUUUGUAUGAAAACACUUUGUGUUUACAUGCAAAGAGGGGCAUGAUGUAGACACGUAAUUUUGUCCCUCUCAGAAAGCAUUUUUUCCAUUUUUUUACCUUAUCAUACCGUCUACCCUCAACCAUAUAAUCAUACCCCACAAAAUACAAAUAAUAAUAACAAACCUCUAACAAAUCCAAUCCAAAACAUUCCUUUGAUAACAAAAUAACAAACUCCCUAAUCCAUAAUAUUCCUCAUCCUAACCAACUCACCCUACCCUACCCCCUACCCCCUAGCCUCAAUCCUUUUUGUCACGUUUUUACUCCUUUUUGCACUUUAAGAGAAUGACCAAAAAAAGAGAAUAUAGAGAUAGCACAUAAAUUGACUUAAGGAGCCCACAGAUUACAAAAAAAAAAAAUACCCAGGACUCUUCUUCCAUUUUUUAGAAAAGAAUACAACUAGGGGGACCCACACGAUUUUGGGGGGACUCCAUUUUCCCUUUCUAAUAUACAACCAUCAGAUACCAAAAAAAAGGGAGGACGGGCACACACACAACAAUAUACACUUAUUUUUUUCUCUCAUCUUUUAGAUACAAAGAUCAACCAUCAACAACACAGAAGAACUACUCUCAACGUCUCAAUUCUUAUACACACCAGCGAACUCACCAUCAAUACACCAGCCAAACGCAAAACACACGCAGAUCGAGGGAGAGAGACGCGAGAGAGAUAGACAAAGAGAGAAGAGAGUGAAACAGAAUUAAUCGGAGCAACAUAAAAAGCGAAACACUCACCGAAAAUUCCCUAGAUUAGUCAUCGGAACCCACCUCUGUUUCUAUAGUUACUGCUCCGGCAAUUUCUCGUUGGAGAACAUCUCCGUUCGCCCAAAUUCGUUUGAAUCUGAUUGUUUUCUGUCAAAAACUUUCCUAAAAUUCCAAAGUUCUGAAGGAAAAAGGUACGGGUCUUCUCUGUUCGUUGCGUAUUCUGAUUUAGAUUAGCGGAAAACAAAGUGACGGGUGCAUAUCAGAGCUGGGUUUCGCUGUUGGGGUCUGAUUCGUGGUUCUUCGGCGUGGAUUUUAUCAUUUUGAUCGAGUGAUACUUGAUUUUGGUCAUCAAUUGAGGUCCAAUUCUACUCUUCACUCAUUUUAUUUUAUUAUUUGUCAUAUUCGAUGCAUUGAAUUAAAUAUUAUGCAUUGUUUGAUCUUUAUUGAUGAAUAGUAUUUGUUUGAUUCGUGGUUGGGUUCUUUGAUUGUGGAUGGUUUAAAUGAUAAUCGUGAAUCGGGAAAAUUUACUGUUAAAAGGCAAUUUGGGACGGAAUUGAAAACUGAUAAAAAGAGUGAAUUUUGGUUUAUUGUUGUUUUGUUUAAUCGAAAUAAAUAGCAAGUUGGUGAAUUCAAUAGGAAAAUAUUCUAGGCCAAAAUCUUAAUAGGCAAAAGUUUAGUUUGGGGUAGACAAAUUUAUGGAUUGUUGAUUAAUGUGGAAUGUUUUUUGAAUUACUCUCUUUUCUCGCAUUUGGAAGAUGUAUUCAUUUAGCCAAGGAAUACCCCGAGGUUUCAUGUAUUUAUUCACCGGGGAAUGCCCCGACGUAUUAUGUUGGUGAAGGCGAAUCAUGAUGAAGGCCCGAGGUGUCGGGUAAAGCAUGGCACCGCAAUUAGGAUUAGCAUAAGUUAGAUAGAAUUUAUUUUUGUAUUUUUUAUUUUAGACUGUAUAAAUUGGACUGAACGCCGUGCUUUUGAUUCGUUUUUGUUUUAUUUGUUUGUUUGAUUGUUUUACGUGUUUUUGUGUGGUUUGUACAUUUGUAGUGUCAAAAUUAGCCGAUACACUCCACCAAGCGACCGUGGUCGAACCAUGGGAUCGAGAAAUGCCUAACACCUUCCCCUCGGUCAACAGAAUUCCUUAGCCGGAAUCUCUGUUCGCAAAACAGUUUAAAGAGUCAAAUGAUUUUGAAAAGGAUUUUCCAAUGGUGACUUGGCACACCGAAUUAUGCCAAGUGGAGACUCUAAAUAAAAAAAUGUAAAUAGUACUUCUUCGAAACAAAUUUUUAAUCCUUUGUCACUUAAUAAAACCCCUUUUGAACUUGAAAUAACUCAUUUGGAGUACGAAAAAGGGGUGUGACACAUACAAAGAAAACUUCUGAGUUUAAAACAUGGUGGCUGGUUUGUGGUUUUGGCUUUCGAGGCAAUCACUUUUGCCCCAAUCACAUUUAACCUUGCUUCCAACCAUUAGCAUAUGUCAUUGGCUUGCUGCAUCAUUGACUCAAACUCAGGUUAUUAAGAGUGACAAAAAUGAACACAGUAUUUCUGCUUCGCCAUGUUUCUCAGAUAGACCUUUGAACCUUGGUAUUUCCAUGAGUUCCCCGACUUCUCGGUUGACAAAACUUUAUACAUACCCAUUUUGGCUUACAAUUAUGUUUCUUUCAUGUGCUAGCUUUUGGCUUGCUUUGUGCAAUUAAUGAAGCUGGUAGCUGAUUUUGAAAUCUUUUCUCACUUGUUUUGACACAGACUUGACUCAAAGACAAGAAAAGAAAACAGAAUGACAAUUUUUAUUUGGAUAACUGACUCAAUAAAGAUAAACAAAAAUAAAGAGAAGAAAGAAAAGACGAUGGAUGUCCCCAUUUGAAACAAAGAAAAGACAAAUCCAUCAAAAAAAUGACUGUCAACUCUAAUGAUUAUGACAUGCAUUUCAAAUUAAGCAGCUUGAUCUUUUCAUCCAAAUUUUCUACCAAUUGUUGUUGAGUUAACGGCCUUGAAACUGAGUUACUUCCUUAGGUCAAUUGCAUUUACGACCUCAUUCGGCUAGUGGCGCCUUGAAGGGUUUUCUCCAACAAACCUCUCUCAUUUUUCUCUCGGCUCACCAUCGACUUAUGGUGCCCGUGAGGAUUUUCACCAAUAAUACUCUCUCAUUUUUAUUUCUCUCAACUUAUCAUCGCCUUACGGUGCCCGCGAGGAUUUUCACCAAUAAAACUCUCUCAUUUUUAUUUCUCUCUUGAUUCGUUAUGCUGAGGAAGACAAGUAGUUCCCAAAUAUAUCAUCAUAUCCCUUGCAUGCUUAGCCUUAACAUCCUCAAAGAUCUAUCUGAAGGUCUUUCUUUAGUUUUAACUUAGCUUUUGGAUAGGGUUAGAAAGAAAGGAUGGCAUAAGGCCCAAACAACACUUGAAGUGGUGUAGGACUAACAACUUUUGGAAUCGAUUCAAACAAGAAGGAUUAACGCAUGCCCCCGUUUCUUUUGACUGGGCAAUUCUAAAAUUUUUAUUUGGUUGAACCGAGCCCUGAGUAGGGCAACCUACAUAUCUCACCCUCGAGAGAGGAGAAUCAGUUCAUGCGUAGUUCUGGCAGCUUAUUCUUUUUUGCUUGAUUCUGACUUAUUCUUCUCUUUUUUUUAACUCUUUUUUCUUUGUGAUUUUUUUGACUCUAAUUUCUUGACACUCUUUUCUUCCUUCGUGGACACAUUUUUCUCUCUUUUUUUUGAAACUUUCUGACUAUAUUCUCUUACUCGAUACUUUUCUUUUGAGCUUUGCUGGCUUUAUCUUGAUUCCAAAGAGGGGUAUGAAAUAAAAUAACACUAAGGCUCAAAUGGGGUAAACAAAGGAUGACACAAUGUUUGGAUAGAAGAAUAAAAUGUCUUCGUCAUAUCAAUCCUUGAAAAUACUAGUACAUAGCAUGCAAUGUGAAAGUGCACGAUCAACAUCACUUAUGACAUGUUUUACAACACUAACUUGCCCAGAGCAUGUGUGUCACAUCUUUUUCUAUACUUGUCGAACAUACCACUCCACCUUUGUUGUACAUCCCUCACAUUGAAUGACUCAUGCUUUCGUGGAAUUAGUUUUUGUUCUGUUCCUUAAGAGCAUACAUCCGCCAUUUGACCUAAUUGAGAUAGGUUUUUCAAUUGAUGACCAAGUUAUUUUUGUGAUUCUCAAAAUAAUUGCCUUAAUUUUCGAAGAAGGCUUCAACUUGUCACCAAAUGUCUCAGCACUCCACCUAUUUUCUCAAAUGUUUUUCCUAACUUUAGUCCUCUAAUUCAAAGUUCAUGGUUAAGUUGGAUUUUAAGAUCUAGCUGAAAAUUCUGCUAGCAUGUCCUAUCACUAGAAUCAACAUAAAAUGCACUAUGUGAAGAAAACAAAGAACAUAUAUUUGAACACAAAGGGAAAAAGGACACUCUAUUUAAGUAAAAUAAAAGACAGAGGGUUCGAACCUAAACGACAAAGGGACCAAACAAGUUAAAUCUUGAACUACAACCCUGAAAUACUUCGAAAAACAGAAAAGAAAACAAAACAAACUACCAGACCUCUUCCUAGUAGGGAGAGGGGUGACUUCUCAAUUACUUAGCCUGGCAACUUAGCCACUGGUUUGCCUAUCAACAUGACUAGAGCUUCCCUUAAUGUCAAUGUUCUGCACCAUAAUUGAUCCAUCUUGAAUCAUCUUUUCAAUUUCUCUUUUCAAAUCCGACAAUCUUCAAUACUAUGACCUUGAGCAUUAGAAUGAUACGCACAUCGUACAUUAGGAUCAAAAUUUCUUGAACGCCGAUUAAGAGUGAACUCAAGGAGAAGAGUGAUCAUGCCCCAUUGUACCAAUCUCUAAAAUAAAUUGGCAUACGACUCUCCAAUUGGUGUGAAGCUAUCUCUCGACUUCUGCCUCAUUUUAUCGUUUGGCUUGGAUCAAAAAUCAGGCUUAGAAGCGUUUUGGUAUGUUUGUGGAUUUAGAGGACGGCUCUGAGGAGUUGAUGUUUUCCACUGUGGGUAAGAUGGGGGUCAAACAUGUGGUUGUGCAUUAUACAUUGGAUAUGGAUGUGGAGGAAUAGAGUAUAAUGGAUUUUGGGAGCGAUUAUGUGAAGCUUGGGCAUGAACUUGGGUUUGAGCCUAAGAGUGACGACGACGAGGUCUUCUUAACCUUUCCUGCUGUCCAACUACAACAGCAGAUGUAUCUUCCUUAUUCUUUUUCUCCCUAACACUUCUUGAACCCUUUUGAAUUGCUUGAGUAGUCGCUUUCAAUGUUGCAAAACUCAAUAUACGACUAGUCUUAAUUCCCUCUUCUAUCAUCUCCCCCAUUUUAAGGACCUCAAUAAAUGGUUUGCCUAAUGCAGGUAAAAAGUGUUGAUAAUAUGUUUCACCCUGCGCUUGAAUAAAUACCUCCAUUAUCUUACUUUCUUUCAUUGGCGGUUUCACCCCAGCAGCUUGUUCACGCCAUCUGAUCGCAUCCUUACUGAAACUCUCAAUAUUCUUCUUUUUAUACUAGUUAGGGAUUUUUCGUCAGGGAUCAACUCCACAUUGUAUUGAAAUUAUUGCACAAAUUCAUUAGCUAAGUCAUCCCAACUAAUCCACUUAUCAAUGUCUUGGUCAAUAAACCAUUCCGAAGCCAGGCCUGAAAGACUCUUCCGAAAUAAGCCAUGAGUAGUUCUUCCUUCCCUCCAGCGCCUCUUAAUUGGUUACAAUAGCGCCUCAAAUAUGCCACUAGAUCCCCAUAUCCGUCAUAUUUCUCCAACUUUGGCAUUUUAAAGCUAGGAGGAAGGUUGACACAUGAAAACAUACAUAAGUCCUUAUAUGAGACACUUUUGUAACCCCCAAGCCCUUGCAAAUUCUUCAUAGCCAGUUCCAAACUUUUCAAUUUUCUGGUCAUUUCCUUUUGUUCUUCUGUCAUAACAGGCUUCUUAGUGUUAGGAGGAAAUUUAGGUGGGUGAGUGUCACCGUAAAGACCAGUCAACUUGAAUGUAGGCUCGGAUUCAAUGCAGGCUCUCUUGUAGAGUAAGAAGGCACAACUUGUGGAUGAACAUCAAAAGUAGGAGCUCCGGGUGGUGGUGGCGCCGGAAAAGCAUGAACAGCAAAUGAAGCCGAGUGUGUGGUAGUCUUGGAUUGGGGAGUGAGGAAAUGAACAUUAGAAGUGGUUGGAUAUUGUUGCCCCGGAGUCGAUCCUGAUGCAUGUUGUGCUAUAUCAACAAAUAUGGAAAAUUGUGCAUGUGACAUGGGAGACAAGCUAGAAAGAUAUUCCAGAUUAUCAGUGGGAACUGGAGAAAGCGACAACCCAUUAGCCCAAACUCUAUGCAUUUCUAUCAUUUGUUGCCUUAAUUUUUGAAUCUCUUUAUUAGCUCCUAAAUUCUCAUUUCCGGAACUCCCUAUCUGAUUAGUUACAACAAACUCAGUAUCCUUGUUGGCCAUCACUUUCUCUGUGACGGUGCAAUAUGAAGAACCAACCAAAAUACCACAAACCAACCACCUUAAACUAACUGGACAAGAGAUAGCAAAUACGUUAGUUCAACACUUUAUCAAAACCUCUUUUUUUUUUAAAAGAUCACCGAACCCGAGAAGGGCGCCUACGUAUCUCACAUCCCGAGAGAGGAAAUUAGAUGUGUGUAGUUCAUAAAGUCGUGCCAAAAUGACCAAUUGAACUCUUUGUUUUCUUUCUUUUUUUUCUUUUUCUCGAAACUUUAAGAAGAAAAGAAAAUAACAAUUUGUCAAAAGAAUUGACAAAAAUAUUUUUGAAUUUUUCAGCUUUAACAUCCCUAUAUAAAGUGAAAUCUAUGAUUACCAAAGAAAAUCUUUUUGAAUUUUCAGUUUUAAAUUUCAUAUGAAAAUGGAACUUGAACCUAUUAAAGAAAGAUCUUUUUGGAGUUUUCUUUUAGAGAUGUAUAUGAAACACCUACUCUAAGUAAAGAGUGAAAAAAAUCUUUUUGAAUUUUUUAAAUACGAUCCCCGAACCAACAAUAGGCUGUCUACGUAUCUCACAUCCCGAAAGAGGAGAAUCAGGGGUGCGUAGUUCGUCCAGGUUGGACAAUUAAGGAUUAAAUGACAAAUUAAACCCUGAAUUGAGAGACACGACUAAAAACAAACGAUGAAAAUAAAAUCAUUUUUGAGUUUUUAAUCAUAAACUAACACCAACAACUAUGAAAGAAAAAAUCUUUUUGAUAUUUUCGUUAUAUAAAAAUGUACAAAGCUCCUAUUUAAAGGAAAAAAUAUUUUUGGAGUUUUUGAAUUGUAAGUACUUACUAAAGAAAUAAAAGGAAAAUUUUUUUAACGUUUUUGACUUUUCGGGAAAUGAGUGCAAAAAGUAAAAAAAUAAUUUUUUUUUUUGACUUGUGAAAAACAAAAGCCAUAAAGAACCCUAAAAACUACAAAAUCUCUUUUUUUUCAGUCUUUUUUUCUUCCUUUUUUUUAACAAUUUCUUGUCUACACAGUUUGCUUCUAACUCAUGUUUUUGCCCAAAUCAGUCUAUCAAAUGACCUCGUUACUCUCAGAGAUGCAACAUUUAGCACGUAGGGAUGCUUUAGAGGCGAGUCUCCUACAAAAGGGCCAUGUGGGUCUCACUAGAUCUCAAUAUGAUACAAAUAAGCAUGACCUAAAAGCUGACCUACGCUGGAGUUCACUAACAAGGCUGUUCGGGAAAGCGUAUGGUUGAUAGUGGCUGCGCUAGCUUUCCACCCACUCCAUACCAGCCGAUGGCUUCCCCUCCUAAAAGUAAGGGUGACUCAACUAUAGGUUGUGUACACAACAUGUACUAUAGACUUGUUGCAGAAAUAAUGACUUGGGUUAUACACAUGAUGCCAGAUAUAAAGCGGUAACACAUAAGAUAAAAACUGUAAACAAAGAGCACGUAGGCACUCAACAAUGAACAAACAAUAACACAAAACAACAUAAAUGUAUAUACACCCAUAAUGCCAAACUAAGCCGAUACAACUCCAAAAAUAAGCUUAAAUUCUGAAAUGAUCCCCAGUAAAAUCGCCAGAGCUGUCACACCUCUUUUUCAACCAAAAAAAGAUUCGAUUUUAAGUUUAAAAGGAUUUUUAUUAUUAGGUGACAAAAAUGAAGGUUUGUGUCGAAAAAGAAUUAUUUUAUUUUUUUUACAUCCAAACUCAGAGUCGCCACUUGGCAUAAUCCGAUGUGCCAAGUCACCUUUGAAAAAUCUUUUUUAAAAUAAUUUUAACUCUUUUAAACUGAUCUGCGAAUAGAAAUUCCGACUAAGUAAUUCUGUUGACCGAGGGAAAGGUGUGAGGCACCCCUCGAUCCCGUGGUUCGACCACAGUCGCUUAGCGGAGCAUAUCGACUAAUUUGACACUACGAAUGUAUAAACCACACAAAACACAUAAAACAAUCAAUCAAACAAACAAAACAAAACAAAACAAUCCAAAAGUAUAGUGUCCAGUCCAAUUAUUACAAUCCGAAAUAAAAAGGUACUGAAAAAGUAAACCUACACUAAUCCUAAACUACGCUCCAAUACUUUACCCGAUGUUUCAGGCCUUAAUCACGAACAUCUUCCGCCAACAUAAUACGUCGAGGCAUUCCACGAUAAAUAAAUACAAUGAGCCUCGGGGCAUUCUCCGGCUAAAUGAAUUCAUUUGAUGAAAUACGAUAAAAACAAACCACUCCACAAACAUUUCAAAUCAUUCAACCAUACACAAUCCCUACUUUUGCCUACCCAACUUAGAAUUUGUCUAUUCCGUCUCGACCUAAAAUAUGAUAAUAUCAAUUUCGAUUAACGUUCGUUUUAAGUCAAACAACACCCCAAAAAUCAAAUCAAUCAAAAUUCACCUUUUUAUCAAGUUUCAAACCCCGUUCCACUUAUUCCCAAUCAAUUAACCAAUUUCAAUAUAAGAAUCAACCAAUCAAGGUACGACAAUUAUAGAAACUCAAACACGCUCAAAAUUUGUAUCUUCAACCCAUCACGAAUCAACAAAAAUCAUGACAUCAAAUAUCACAUCACGAUAAAAUAAAAAGAGAUUAAGUUGAAGAAUUUGACCUCGAUUUUAUUUCAUCCACUGAAUUUGUUCGAACAAAGCCAACGAACUUAAGACCUCGAUUCAAUGAAAUCAACACGGAUCCCCCAACUUGAUCAACCCCUCCAAAAAAAGAAAUAACCGAGCAACCCCAAAACAGUUCCCACGAAAUACGGCAGUUUCUAAGGAUUAGUCGCAAAUUUCAGGCAUUUUCCGACAGGUUUUUGAAAUUGAUUCAACCGGAGUUACUGUUUUCUCGGUGCCGGAGGUCCGGUGAGCUCCGACGGUGUCAAGAGACGACGAAAAUGGUUUAAAUUUCGGUGAUGGGUAGCCUUUUUCGAUGGGAUUUCACCGAUUCUUAAUGUUUCUUCGCCCAAACCCUCUCAAAUCGCUUCCAUUCCCUCCGUUUCACUCUCUUUCUCCUGAUUCUCUCUCUCGCUUAGUUUCGUCUCUCACUGUGUAGCUAUGUGUAUCGGUGAGGGAUUGUGAGAGUGUGCAAUGGUCUGUGUUGUUAAUUUUUGAGGUCAGUAAAGAAGAAAAGAAAAUCAGAAAAUGGUGUGUGCGCGCUCUGUUUCUGAGAAAAAUGAAAAUUUCAGUCCCUUGAUCGUGACCCCCCUUGUAUAAGAUGAUAGUCCCCCUUUUUUUUCCAAUGUGUGUAGUGUAUAUAUUAUAUUCCCUAUCUGUGGAAAUUGUUAGUGAGUGGAAUGUUGUGGAAGAAUGGAGUCAAUCCCUGGGCCCCUUUUUUGUAAUGGAAAAGGAAUAAAAGUGUAAGUAGGCAUGGGUAGGUGGUUAGCAUAAGAUAAAAUUGGUUAUAGAUUUUGUUGAAUUUUUAUUAUUUUUGUAUUUUUGUGGAAUAUAAUUAAACGGGUGAAGAGGA
This 20142-nucleotide long non-coding RNA is filed under the name Capsicum annuum. RNAcentral describes it as "long non-coding RNA (CANN_LNC022261)". Lineage: Eukaryota; Viridiplantae; Streptophyta; Magnoliopsida; Solanales; Solanaceae. The record is from RNAcentral.